GCCUGGAUAGCUCAGUUGGCAGAGCGCGUCUUUGGUAAAGACGAGGUCCUGGGUCCGAUUCCCAGUCCAGGCU
This 73-nucleotide transfer RNA is filed under the name Candidatus Shapirobacteria bacterium CG03_land_8_20_14_0_80_39_12. RNAcentral's name for it is "tRNA-Thr". It matches the Rfam family "tRNA". Rfam says of the family: Transfer RNA (tRNA) molecules are approximately 80 nucleotides in length. Their secondary structure includes four short double-helical elements and three loops (D, anti-codon, and T loops). Lineage: Bacteria; Candidatus Shapironibacteriota. The record is from RNAcentral.